GCCUGAAGGACUUCCGGGAACCGCAAAGCACGGUGUGCCUCCGCUGUCCUGAAGAAAAAGCCGCGCGCGGACGACUGGCCGGCCCGCGCUUGCAGCUCCCAGAAGUUGACAGGCAUCCUCCGGUGACCGGUGUGAGUAUGGCAUCAGGAUGAUUUGACUGCAAGCAACAGAAAAAUCAAACAAAAAUGGCCUAAGCCAAGAAGAGAAAUGAUUAUUUCACAUUCCAAGAAGUUUGGGAGUCGAGUGGUUAAACGGCUAAUUAAUCUAGAGCUCAACAGUAUCACCCAGGACCCAUUUUCACUAUGGUGGCUAAAGCUCUGCACCCUUCAGGCUUGCACCAUGGCAGCAGCAGUGACAGUAAAGACACCCUUACACCACAAUGCUCCAUGACCAGGGAGAGGGUCUCCUCUCUCCUGCCCCUUUCUGGAGGCUCCACCGAAGAUUUCUCUUCACAUUCCGUUUCUCAUUCCUGAAGCAGUUGCUGGCAACAGGGAUGGACUUACCGCAAUGGGUACAGAGCAACUAAGAUUCACCACUAGUGAACCAUUUAGGGAUGGCCACGUGACUCAGUUCUGGUCACCAAGGUGGUGGAAGAGAAGUUCUCUUGAGGGGCAUCUGGGAAAGAUUCUUCUGCCUGAUAAAACAGGAGGCUGGAGUGCAGUGGUACAAUCUCAGCUCACGGCAAACUCGGCCUUCUAGAUUCACGCCAUUCUCCUGCCUCAGCCUCCCAAGUAGCUGGGACUACAGGCACCCACCACCUGGCCUGGCUAAUUUUUUUUGUAUUUUUAGUAGAGACGGGGUUUCACCAUGUUAGCCAGGAUGCUCUCGAUCUCCUGACGUCGUGAUCCGCCAGCCUCGGCCUCCCAAAGUGCUGGGAUUACAGGCGUGAGCCACAGCGCCCGGCCAAUUUCACAAAUAGAUUUUUUUUCUUACUGUAAAUCUUAGCAAGCUCAGCAUACGAAUUUUUUUUUCCUUAAAUUGAAAGCUUUUACCCUUUCACUUAAAGGCAGCACUUUAUGGCUUCUCUUGGGCAUAUCCAAAUUGCUACCAUCACUACUCGUAUUAGUCCAUUUUCACGCUGCUGAUAAAGACAUACCUGAGACUGAGAAAUUUACCAAAUAAAGAGGUGUACUGGACUUACAGUUCCACAUGGCUGGGGAGGCCUCACAAUCAUGGUGGAAGGCAAGAAGGAGCAAGUCAUGUCUUACAUGGAUGGCAGCUGGCAAAGAGAAAGCUUGUACAGGGAGACUCCCGUUUUGAAAACCAUCAGAUCUUGUGAGACUCAUUCACUAUUACAAGAACAGUGCAGGAAAGAUGCACCCCUGUACUUCAAUCACCUCCCAGCAGGUUCCUCCCACGACAUGUGGGAAUUGUGGGAGUUACAAUUCAAGAUGAGAUUUGGUUGGGGACACAGCCAAACCAUAUCACUACUCUUGUGCUUUGGGGCCAUUAUGAAGUAAAACAAGCAUUAUUUGAACACAAGAACUGCAAUACCACCACAGUAGAUCUGAUAACUGUUGGCUACUAAGUGACUAAGGGGCAGGUGAAGUAUACAGCUUGGAUGCGAUGGACAAAGAGGAAGAUCUACCUCCCAGCUGGGAUGGAGCAGGACGAUGCAAGAUUUCAUCACACUACUCAGAAAGGCAUGCAGUUUAAAGCUCGUAAAUUAUUUCAGGAAUUUUCCAUUUAAUAUUUUCAGGCUGUGGCUGACCGUGAGUAACAAACCCAGGAAAGCGAAACUGCAGAACAGUGGAUGGGAGAAAGGGUGAAUUACUGUAUAUUCAUGAGGGAUAUUAGUCCAUAGUUUCUUUUUUCCCUUUUAACAAAUUUUUGGGUUUUGUAUAUAGUUUGUCUGGUUUUGGUAUCAGGGUAAUACUAGCUUCAUAAAAUGAAUUGGAAAGCGUUUCUUCUGUUUUCCUAAAAAGAUUAUAUGGAAUUAGCAUUCAUUCUUUAAACACUUGGUAGAAAUCUUAAGUAAAACCAUCUGAGCUCGGAGAUUUUUUUGUGUGUGUUAUAAAAUUACAUAUUCAGUUUCCUUAAUAUUUAUAAGAUCAUUUUAAUUAUCUGUGUUUUUCAGUGAAACGGGUCAAUUUUCUGUAUGUUGUCAAAUUAAUAUUUGUAGAAUUGUAUUAGUAUUCUUCAUUAUCCUUUUGAUGUCUGCAGAAUCUGUAAUGGUAUCCCUGUUUUAUUUCUGAUAUUAAUUUGUGCCAUUAUGUCUUUUUUUCUUUGUUGAUCUUGUCAGAAGUUUGUCAAUUUUAUCAAUUUGUUCCAAGAACCAGCUCAUU
This 2285-nucleotide long non-coding RNA is filed under the name Homo sapiens (human). RNAcentral describes it as "HSALNT0388604". The record is from RNAcentral. Lineage: Eukaryota; Metazoa; Chordata; Mammalia; Primates; Hominidae.